This 204-nucleotide long non-coding RNA is filed under the name Physcomitrium patens. RNAcentral's name for it is "long non-coding RNA (PPAT_LNC014329)". The record is from RNAcentral. Lineage: Eukaryota; Viridiplantae; Streptophyta; Bryopsida; Funariales; Funariaceae.
AAAAUUGAUUUUGUUGGACUAAUUGCACCAAUGUUGAGACAUGAACAAAAACGGUAUAUUUUUGUCACUAUGGACUAUGUAACCAAAUAGACAGAGGUUGUUGCCAUAGGACAUGAUAAUGCACACACUGUCGCUACGUUUCUAUAGGAGAAUAUUAUAACUUGGUUUGGGUGUCCUAAAGAAUUGGUUUGUGAUCGUGAAACC